CCUACGGGUGGCAGCUGUGAGGAAUAUUGGUCAAUGGGCGCGAGCCUGACCCAGCCAAGUAGCGUGAAGGAUGACUGCCCUACGGGUUGUAAACUUCUUUUAUAAAGGAAUAAAGUGAGGCACGUGUGCCUUUUUGUAUGUACUUUAUGAAUAAGGCUCGGCUAACUCCGUGCCAGCAGCCGCGGUAAUACGUAGGAUCCGAGCGUUAUCCGGAUUUAUUGGGUGUAAAGGGAGCGUAGAUGGGUUGUUAAGUCAGUUGUGAAAGGUAGGGGCUCAACCGUAAAAUUGCAAUUGAUACUGGCAGUCUUGAGUACAGGUGAGGUAGGCGGAAUUCGUGGUGUAGCGGUGAAAUGCUUAGAUAUCACGAAGAACACCGAUGGCGAAGGCAGCUUACUAAACUGCCACUGACAUUGAUGCGCGAAAGUGUGGGUAUCAAACAGGAUUAGAUACCCCAGUAGUC
This 460-nucleotide ribosomal RNA is filed under the name uncultured bacterium. Its description in RNAcentral is "partial 16S ribosomal RNA". It matches the Rfam family "Bacterial small subunit ribosomal RNA", at positions 338 to 795 of the family's 1533-position model. The record is from RNAcentral.